Molecule: ribosomal RNA, 291 nt
Filed under: uncultured bacterium
Lineage: Bacteria
Description: partial 16S ribosomal RNA
Rfam family: Bacterial small subunit ribosomal RNA
Source: RNAcentral
AAUCAACGCUGGCGGCGUGCCUAACACAUGCAAGUCGAACGCGAAAGGGGACUUCGGUUCCUGAGUAGAGUGGCGUACGGGUGAGUAACGCGUGGGUCAUCUGCCCUCGGGUGGGGAAUAACUAAUCGAAAGGUUAGCUAAUACCGCAUAACACAGUGAUGUCAAAGCAGCAAUGUGCCUGAGGAGGAGCCUGCGUCUGAUUAGGUAGUUGGUGGGGUAACGGCCUACCAAGCCUGCGAUCAGUAGCUGGUCUGAGAGGACGGCCAGCCACAAUGGCGCUGAAACACGGGG